RNAcentral lists this ribosomal RNA (171 nucleotides) under uncultured bacterium. RNAcentral describes it as "partial 16S ribosomal RNA". The record is from RNAcentral.
CUGGCUGUAAACGAUGAGCACUAGCUAGGAGGGGCGUAGGCCCUUCCUAACGGAGCGAAAGUGUUAAGUGCUCCGCCUGGGGAGUNCGAAGAACCUUAUCCUAGGCUUGACAUGGUCGGAUUAGUUCCGUGAAAGCGGAAUGACGCCUUCGGGUGGAACGAUCACAGGUGC